RNAcentral lists this ribosomal RNA (2673 nucleotides) under Escherichia coli. Its description in RNAcentral is "bacterial LSU rRNA". It matches the Rfam family "Bacterial large subunit ribosomal RNA". Lineage: Bacteria; Pseudomonadati; Pseudomonadota; Gammaproteobacteria; Enterobacterales; Enterobacteriaceae. The record is from RNAcentral.
GAUUCCCCCAGUAGCGGCGAGCGAACGGGGAGGAGCCCAGAGCCUGAAUCAGUGUGUGUGUUAGUGGAAGCGUCUGGAAAGGCGCGCGAUACAGGGUGACAGCCCCGUACACAAAAAUGCACAUAUUGUGAGCUCGAUGAGUAGGGCGGGACACGUGGUAUCCUGUCUGAAUAUGGGGGGACCAUCCUCCAAGGCUAAAUACUCCUGACUGACCGAUAGUGAACCAGUACCGUGAGGGAAAGGCGAAAAGAACCCCGGCGAGGGGAGUGAAAAAGAACCUGAAACCGUGUACGUACAAGCAGUGGGAGCCUCUUAAUGGGGUGACUGCGUACCUUUUGUAUAAUGGGUCAGCGACUUAUAUUCUGUAGCAAGGUUAACCGAAUAGGGGAGCCGAAGGGAAACCGAGUCUUAACUGGGCGUUAAGUUGCAGGGUAUAGACCCGAAACCCGGUGAUCUAGCCAUGGGCAGGUUGAAGGUUGGGUAACACUAACUGGAGGACCGAACCGACUAAUGUUGAAAAAUUAGCGGAUGACUUGUGGCUGGGGGUGAAAGGCCAAUCAAACCGGGAGAUAGCUGGUUCUCCCCGAAAGCUAUUUAGGUAGCGCCUCGUGAAUUCAUCUCCGGGGGUAGAGCACUGUUUCGGCAAGGGGGUCAUCCCGACUUACCAACCCGAUGCAAACUGCGAAUACCGGAGAAUGUUAUCACGGGAGACACACGGCGGGUGCUAACGUCCGUCGUGAAGAGGGAAACAACCCAGACCGCCAGCUAAGGUCCCAAAGUCAUGGUUAAGUGGGAAACGAUGUGGGAAGGCCCAGACAGCCAGGAUGUUGGCUUAGAAGCAGCCAUCAUUUAAAGAAAGCGUAAUAGCUCACUGGUCGAGUCGGCCUGCGCGGAAGAUGUAACGGGGCUAAACCAUGCACCGAAGCUGCGGCAGCGACACUAUGUGUUGUUGGGUAGGGGAGCGUUCUGUAAGCCUGUGAAGGUGUACUGUGAGGUAUGCUGGAGGUAUCAGAAGUGCGAAUGCUGACAUAAGUAACGAUAAAGCGGGUGAAAAGCCCGCUCGCCGGAAGACCAAGGGUUCCUGUCCAACGUUAAUCGGGGCAGGGUGAGUCGACCCCUAAGGCGAGGCCGAAAGGCGUAGUCGAUGGGAAACAGGUUAAUAUUCCUGUACUUGGUGUUACUGCGAAGGGGGGACGGAGAAGGCUAUGUUGGCCGGGCGACGGUUGUCCCGGUUUAAGCGUGUAGGCUGGUUUUCCAGGCAAAUCCGGAAAAUCAAGGCUGAGGCGUGAUGACGAGGCACUACGGUGCUGAAGCGACAAAUGCCCUGCUUCCAGGAAAAGCCUCUAAGCAUCAGGUAACAUCAAAUCGUACCCCAAACCGACACAGGUGGUCAGGUAGAGAAUACCAAGGCGCUUGAGAGAACUCGGGUGAAGGAACUAGGCAAAAUGGUGCCGUAACUUCGGGAGAAGGCACGCUGAUAUGUAGGUGAAGCGACUUGCUCGUGGAGCUGAAAUCAGUCGAAGAUACCAGCUGGCUGCAACUGUUUAUUAAAAACACAGCACUGUGCAAACACGAAAGUGGACGUAUACGGUGUGACGCCUGCCCGGUGCCGGAAGGUUAAUUGAUGGGGUUAGCGGUAACGCGAAGCUCUUGAUCGAAGCCCCGGUAAACGGCGGCCGUAACUAUAACGGUCCUAAGGUAGCGAAAUUCCUUGUCGGGUAAGUUCCGACCUGCACGAAUGGCGUAAUGAUGGCCAGGCUGUCUCCACCCGAGACUCAGUGAAAUUGAACUCGCUGUGAAGAUGCAGUGUACCCGCGGCAAGACGGAAAGACCCCGUGAACCUUUACUAUAGCUUGACACUGAACAUUGAGCCUUGAUGUGUAGGAUAGGUGGGAGGCUUUGAAGUGUGGACGCCAGUCUGCAUGGAGCCGACCUUGAAAUACCACCCUUUAAUGUUUGAUGUUCUAACGUGGGCCCCUUACCGGGGUUGCGGACAGUGUCUGGUGGGUAGUUUGACUGGGGCGGUCUCCUCCUAAAGAGUAACGGAGGAGCACGAAGGUUGGCUAAUCCUGGUCGGACAUCAGGAGGUUAGUGCAAUGGCAUAAGCCAGCUUGACUGCGAGCGUGACGGCGCGAGCAGGUGCGAAAGCAGGUCAUAGUGAUCCGGUGGUUCUGAAUGGAAGGGCCAUCGCUCAACGGAUAAAAGGUACUCCGGGGAUAACAGGCUGAUACCGCCCAAGAGUUCAUAUCGACGGCGGUGUUUGGCACCUCGAUGUCGGCUCAUCACAUCCUGGGGCUGAAGUAGGUCCCAAGGGUAUGGCUGUUCGCCAUUUAAAGUGGUACGCGAGCUGGGUUUAGAACGUCGUGAGACAGUUCGGUCCCUAUCUGCCGUGGGCGCUGGAGAACUGAGGGGGGCUGCUCCUAGUACGAGAGGACCGGAGUGGACGCAUCACUGGUGUUCGGGUUGUCAUGCCAAUGGCACUGCCCGGUAGCUAAAUGCGGAAGAGAUAAGUGCUGAAAGCAUCUAAGCACGAAACUUGCCCCGAGAUGAGUUCUCCCUGACUCCUUGAGAGUCCUGAAGGAACGUUGAAGACGACGACGUUGAUAGGCCGGGUGUGUAAGCGCAGCGAUGCGUUGAGCUAACCGGUACUAAUGAACCGUGAGGCUUAACCUU